Molecule: ribosomal RNA, 1021 nt
Filed under: Kochiana brunnipes
Lineage: Eukaryota; Metazoa; Arthropoda; Arachnida; Araneae; Theraphosidae
Description: SSU rRNA
Rfam family: Eukaryotic small subunit ribosomal RNA
Source: RNAcentral
GCCGGUUUCCCUAGAUGAUCUUCACCGGUUGUCCUGGGUGACCGGCACGUUUACUUUGAAAAAAUUAGAGUGCUCAAAGCAGGCGUGUAGUCUGAAUAAUGGUGCAUGGAAUAAUGGAAUAGGACUUCGUUUCUAUUUUGUUGGUUUUCGGAACACGAGGUAAUGAUUAAGAGGGACAGACGGGGGCAUUCGUAUUGCGACGCUAGAGGUGAAAUUCUUGGACCGUCGCAAGACGAACUACUGCGAAAGCAUUUGCCAAGAAUGUUUUCAUUAAUCAAGAACGAAAGUUAGAGGUUCGAAGGCGAUCAGAUACCGCCCUAGUUCUAACCAUAAACGAUGCCAACCAGCGAUCCGCCUGAGUUCCUCAAAUGACUCGGCGGGCAGCUUCCGGGAAACCAAAGUGUUUGGGUUCCGGGGGAAGUAUGGUUGCAAAGCUGAAACUUAAAGGAAUUGACGGAAGGGCACCACCAGGAGUGGAGCCUGCGGUUUAAUUUGACUCAACACGGGAAAACUUACCCGGCCCGGACACUGGAAGGAUUGACAGAUUAAGAGCUCUUUCUUGAUUCAGUGGGUGGUGGUGCAUGGCCGUUCUUAGUUGGUGGAGCGAUUUGUCUGGUUAAUUCCGAUAACGAGCGAGACUCUAGCCUACUAAAUAGGCGUCCCGAUCACUUCUGUCGGGCGUUCUUCUUAGAGGGACAAGUGGCGUUUAGCCGCACGAGACAGAGCGAUAACAGGUCUGAGAUGCCCUUAGAUGUCCGGGGCCGCACGCGCGCUACACUGAAGGAAUCAGCGUGUGUUUUCCCUGUCCGGUAGGACUGGGUAACCCGUUCAACCUCCUUCGUGAUAGGGAUAGGGGCUUGUAAUUGUUCCCCUUGAACGAGGAAUUCCCAGUAAGCGCGAGUCAUAAGCUCGUGUUGAUUACGUCCCUGCCCUUUGUACACACCGCCCGUCGCUACUACCGAUUGAAUGAUUUAGUGAGGUCUUCGGACUGGCGCUCGGAGCGGCCGCAAGGUGGCGUCGG